This 411-nucleotide ribosomal RNA is filed under the name uncultured bacterium. RNAcentral's name for it is "bacterial SSU rRNA". It matches the Rfam family "Bacterial small subunit ribosomal RNA", at positions 355 to 774 of the family's 1533-position model. The record is from RNAcentral.
UCGAGGAUCUUCGGCAAUGGGCGCAAGCCUGACCGAGCGACGCCGCGUGUGCGAUGAAGGCCUUCGGGUUGUAAAGCACUGUCGAGGGGGAGAAAGGCCGCAAGGCUUGAUCGACCCCUGGAGGAAGCACGGGCUAAGUUCGUGCCAGCAGCCGCGGUAAGACGAACCGUGCGAACGUUGUUCGGAUUCACUGGGCUUAAAGGGCGCGUAGGCGGGCUCUCAAGUCGGGGGUGAAAUCCCACCGCUUAACGGUGGAAGUGCCUCCGAUACUGGGAGUCUGGAGGGAGGUAGGGGUGUGUGGAACUUCCGGUGGAGCGGUGAAAUGCGUAGAUAUCGGAAGGAACGCCGGUGGCGAAAGCGACGCACUGGACCUCUUCUGACGCUGAGGCGCGAAAGCCAGGGGAGCAAACG